RNAcentral lists this ribosomal RNA (510 nucleotides) under uncultured bacterium. RNAcentral describes it as "partial 16S ribosomal RNA". It matches the Rfam family "Bacterial small subunit ribosomal RNA", at positions 28 to 507 of the family's 1533-position model. The record is from RNAcentral.
GACGAACGCUGGCGGCGUGCUUAACACAUGCAAGUCGAACGAAGAGCGAUGGAAGCUUGCUUCUAUCAAUCUUAGUGGCGAACGGGUGAGUAACGCGUAAUCAACCUGCCCUUCAGAGGGGGACAACAGUUGGAAACGACUGCUAAUACCGCAUACGAUCUAAUCUCGGCAUCGAGGAUAGAUGAAAGGUGGCCUCUACAUGUAAGCUAUCACUGAAGGAGGGGAUUGCGUCUGAUUAGCUAGUUGGAGGGGUAACGGCCCACCAAGGCGAUGAUCAGUAGCCGGUCUGGGAGGAUGAACCGCCACAUUGGGACUGGGACACGGCCCAGACUCCUACGGGAGGCAGCAGUGGGGAAUCUUCCGCAAUGGACGAAAGUCUGACGGAGCAACGCCGCGUGAGCGAUGACGGCCUUCGGGUUGUAAAGCUCUGUUAAUCGGGACGAAAGGCCUUCUUGCGAAUAGUGAGAAGGAUUGACGGUACCGGAAUAGAAAGCCACGGCUAACUACGUG